GACGAGCGCUGGCGGUGUGCUUAACACAUGCAAGUCGAACGGUAAGGCCCUUUCGGGGGUACACGAGUGGCGCACGGGUGAGUAACACGUGAGUAACCUGCCCUCAUCUCUGGGAUAACAGUCGGAAACGGUUGCUAAUACUGGAUAUGAGCUUGCAAGGCAUCUUGUGGGUUGGAAAGAUUUUUUUUGGUUGGGGAUGGACUCGCGGCCUAUCAGCUUGUUGGUGAGGUAGUGGCUCACCAAGGCUUCGACGGGUAGCCGGCCUGAGAGGGCGACCGGCCACAUUGGGACUGAGAUACGGCCCAAACUCCUACGGGAGGCAGCAGUGGGGAAUAUUGCACAAUGGACGGAAGUCUGAUGCAGCAACGCCGCGUGCGGGAUGACGGCCUUCGGGUUGUAAACCGCUUUCAAUUGUGACGAAGCUUUUUUGUGACGGUAGCAGUAGAAGAAGCACCGGCUAACUACGUG
RNAcentral lists this ribosomal RNA (468 nucleotides) under uncultured bacterium. RNAcentral's name for it is "partial 16S ribosomal RNA". It matches the Rfam family "Bacterial small subunit ribosomal RNA", at positions 28 to 507 of the family's 1533-position model. The record is from RNAcentral.